This 62-nucleotide transfer RNA is filed under the name Caryopemon giganteus. Its description in RNAcentral is "tRNA-Glu". The record is from RNAcentral. Lineage: Eukaryota; Metazoa; Arthropoda; Insecta; Coleoptera; Chrysomelidae.
GUUUAUAUAGUUUAAUAAAAAUAUUACAUUUUCACUGUAAAGUUAGAUUCAAUCUUUUAAAC